AAAUUGAAGAGUUUGAUCAUGGCUCAGAUUGAACGCUGGCGGCAGGCCUAACACAUGCAAGUCGAACGGUAACAGGAAGCAGCUUGCUGCUUUGCUGACGAGUGGCGGACGGGUGAGUAAUGUCUGGGAAACUGCCUGAUGGAGGGGGAUAACUACUGGAAACGGUGGCUAAUACCGCAUAACGUCGCAAGACCAAAGAGGGGGACCUUCGGGCCUCUUGCCAUCAGAUGUGCCCAGAUGGGAUUAGCUUGUUGGUGAGGUAACGGCUCACCAAGGCGACGAUCCCUAGCUGGUCUGAGAGGAUGACCAGCCACACUGGAACUGAGACACGGUCCAGACUCCUACGGGAGGCAGCAGUGGGGAAUAUUGCACAAUGGGCGCAAGCCUGAUGCAGCCAUGCCGCGUGUAUGAAGAAGGCCUUCGGGUUGUAAAGUACUUUCAGCGGGGAGGAAGGUGUUGUGGUUAAUAACCGCAGCAAUUGACGUUACCCGCAGAAGAAGCACCGGCUAACUCCGUGCCAGCAGCCGCGGUAAUACGGAGGGUGCAAGCGUUAAUCGGAAUUACUGGGCGUAAAGCGCACGCAGGCGGUCUGUCAAGUCGGAUGUGAAAUCCCCGGGCUCAACCUGGGAACUGCAUUCGAAACUGGCAGGCUUGAGUCUUGUAGAGGGGGGUAGAAUUCCAGGUGUAGCGGUGAAAUGCGUAGAGAUCUGGAGGAAUACCGGUGGCGAAGGCGGCCCCCUGGACAAAGACUGACGCUCAGGUGCGAAAGCGUGGGGAGCAAACAGGAUUAGAUACCCUGGUAGUCCACGCCGUAAACGAUGUCUACUUGGAGGUUGUGCCCUUGAGGCGUGGCUUCCGGAGCUAACGCGUUAAGUAGACCGCCUGGGGAGUACGGCCGCAAGGUUAAAACUCAAAUGAAUUGACGGGGGCCCGCACAAGCGGUGGAGCAUGUGGUUUAAUUCGAUGCAACGCGAAGAACCUUACCUGGUCUUGACAUCCACAGAACUUUCCAGAGAUGGAUUGGUGCCUUCGGGAACUGUGAGACAGGUGCUGCAUGGCUGUCGUCAGCUCGUGUUGUGAAAUGUUGGGUUAAGUCCCGCAACGAGCGCAACCCUUAUCCUUUGUUGCCAGCGGUCCGGCCGGGAACUCAAAGGAGACUGCCAGUGAUAAACUGGAGGAAGGUGGGGAUGACGUCAAGUCAUCAUGGCCCUUACGACCAGGGCUACACACGUGCUACAAUGGCGCAUACAAAGAGAAGCGACCUCGCGAGAGCAAGCGGACCUCAUAAAGUGCGUCGUAGUCCGGAUUGGAGUCUGCAACUCGACUCCAUGAAGUCGGAAUCGCUAGUAAUCGUGGAUCAGAAUGCCACGGUGAAUACGUUCCCGGGCCUUGUACACACCGCCCGUCACACCAUGGGAGUGGGUUGCAAAAGAAGUAGGUAGCUUAACCUUCGGGAGGGCGCUUACCACUUUGUGAUUCAUGACUGGGGUGAAGUCGUAACAAGGUAACCGUAGGGGAACCUGCGGUUGGAUCACCUCCUUACCUGAAAGAAGC
RNAcentral lists this ribosomal RNA (1554 nucleotides) under Salmonella enterica. RNAcentral describes it as "bacterial SSU rRNA". It matches the Rfam family "Bacterial small subunit ribosomal RNA". RNAcentral also lists the same sequence under 5 other names. Lineage: Bacteria; Pseudomonadati; Pseudomonadota; Gammaproteobacteria; Enterobacterales; Enterobacteriaceae. The record is from RNAcentral.